Molecule: ribosomal RNA, 468 nt
Filed under: uncultured bacterium
Lineage: Bacteria
Description: partial 16S ribosomal RNA
Rfam family: Bacterial small subunit ribosomal RNA
Source: RNAcentral
GACGAACGCUGGCGGCGUGCUUAACACAUGCAAGUCGAACGAAAAGGCCCUGCUUGUUUGGGGUGCUCGAGUGGCACGCGUGAGUGACACACGAGAGUCCUGCCCUUUACACUGUGAUAUGACUUCAGGACUCGGUGUAUAAUCCGAGAGAAGCGCUCCUCCUACGUGGGGUGUUGGGGAGAUUUUCCGCGGUUGGGGAUGGACUCGCGGCAUCUCAGCUUGUUGGAGGGGUUGUCGCUUACCAAGGCCUGGACGGGUAGCCGGCCUGAGAGGGUGACCGGCCACAUUGGGACUGAGAUACGGCCCAGACUCCUACGGGAGGCAGCAGUGGGGAAUAUUGCACAAUGGGCGGAAGCCUGAUGCAGCGACGCCGCGUGCGGGAUGACGGCCUUCGGGUUGUAAACCGCUUUCGCCAGUGAAGAAGCGAAAGUGACGGUACCGGGAGAAGAAGCACCGGCUAACUACGUG